Non-coding RNA from Delphinapterus leucas (beluga whale), 5104 nucleotides. NCBI's taxonomy places the organism in Eukaryota, Metazoa, Chordata, Mammalia, Artiodactyla, Monodontidae. The record is from RefSeq and is a predicted model, not a curated record.
CCCGGCGGAAGCCUAGGGAGCGCAUCUCAGGCGAGCGCGAGUCCCGGGUCCACCCCUGCGGAGCCGGCUGAAAGCUGAGGGAGACCCGAGCCUUGGCGCUAGGAUGGGAAACAGUGCCCUCCGCGCUCAUGUGGAAACCGCGCAGAAAACUGGUGUCUUUCAGCUUAAGGACCGUGGGCUGACCGAGUUCCCCUCAGAGUUGCAGAAGCUGACAAGCAAUCUCAGGACCAUCGACUUGUCCAACAACAAGAUCGAGAGUCUACCGCCUAUGAUUAUAGGGAAGUUCACUCUGCUGAAGAGCCUGUCCUUGAACAACAACAAACUGACUGUCCUUCCUGAUGAGUUAUGCAAUCUGAAAAAACUAGAGACACUAAGCCUAAACAACAAUCACUUGAGAGAGCUGCCAUCUACUUUUGGGCAACUAUCUGCCCUUAAGACCCUGAGCCUCUCUGGGAACCAGCUGAGAGCACUACCAUCCCAACUUUGUAACCUACGGCACCUGGAUGUAGUGGAUCUCUCCAAGAACCAAAUUCGGAGCAUACCUGACACAGUGCAGGAGCUGCAGGUCAUCGAACUCAACCUCAACCAGAACCAGAUAGCUCAGAUCUCAGUGAAGAUAUCUUGCUGUCCUCGCCUUAAAGUUCUUCGUUUGGAGGAGAAUUGUCUUGAGCUCAGUAUGCUUCCACAGAGCAUCCUCAGUGAUUCCCAGAUCUGUCUGCUUGCUGUAGAAGGCAACCUUUUUGAAAUAAAGAAACUUCGAGAACUGGAAGGCUAUGAUAAGUACAUGGAGAGGUUCACAGCCACCAAGAAGAAGUUUGCAUGAUGUUCUCCAGGAGCAUGUGAACCAUACAGGACACUGACUUGGAACCUGUUGCAAUCUGGCUGAAUGAAAGGCUCCUGUUGUUGUCAAGGAUAUCUGCAGUGAGGACAUGAUAUUCCAGGAGAUCUGGACCUUGCGGGAGUCCCCUGAACUGAAUCAUAGAAUCUCAUCUGGAGCUAGCCUAGAUCUCACCCAGAGACUGAAAUAACCUACCCCAAGAUCUGUGGAACAGAUGUAUCACCGUCCAUAUCAAUAUGAAAGGGCUCUGCUGAGGUUAGAGGCUGACGACGGACUGCUUCAGGACCAUACUCUACCUUCUCUCUCAUACUGUCCAAGAAAAUCCUGCCUAUGCUUGUCUGGGUACGCAAAGAAAAAUAAAAUUAAUACUUAUGUAGCUCCAUUUCCCACUUUUUAUGAUAUCAGACCACCUUAUUCCCUGCUCUUCCUACUCAUCGGAGAUAAUUUGCUCUAGGUUCUAGGGAGGACUUCCUCUUCCUUGCUCUUCUCUUAAUAUGUAUCUCAGUGAAGUUCAUUUACUUUUUCCCCUGAACUCUUCCAAGAGGGUACAUAGAACAUAGGAGCAAGGUGCAAGUAAGUUUGCAAAACAUAGUUAAAAAAAGAGUUUAGAUUAAAAAAAAUCUGUGCAUUUCUAACUUGUUUGCUGAAAGUAAUCUGCUAAACCCUGAUUCGCAGGUCAUAGUUAUUAAAAUAUGCACUUUUGGAGAGUCAACCAAGGUCUAAAUAGGUCAACAGACUUGUCUUUCUUAGCUUCUUAUGCCCAAAACAAACACUAAAGUUGACCAACAAGUAAUUUAACUCUAUUUUCUCCAGUAGAAAUGGCACAGAGAAUGCUGUCACAUGAAACACUUAUCUGAAAGCAUGACAGAGCAAAACCUCCUCCAUUCCUAACUCCUUUGAGGAGUAAACAAAUGCUGAGAGUCUGUAAACCUUCGUAUCUCAUUUUUGGUUUACCACACCAGCUGAGACAACUGGAUGGAAGCAGUAAUGCUUACAAAGCUCUUUAAAAAUGAAUACUCUCAGCAGAAAGGAUAGUCACUCAAUCUCCAGACAACGUCGUUUCAGCCAAAGGUAAAGUUCAAAGUUGCUUCAUUAAUGACUCCUCAUCUUUGUCUGAAUACAUGUACUUUUGUCAACACCAUGGAGUUUAUAUUAUCCAAGAUUAAGUAGAGAAUUUAAAUGUUAAUAAUAAAGUCACUAAAAAGAAUGAAUUCCUUUCUGUCAAGUAUAAUCUCAUACACUAUACACAAAUAAUUUGAAGACUUUUCAUCUCCUAGUUUACUAGAGGCCUCAAAUCUUCAGAGUCUUCUUUAAUGUUUCCUUCUUCAUGUUUGAUAUAUAAUCAGUUGAUUUAACGUGAAUUUUUUUGACUUACAUUUUUCUCUCUAAUCUUGAUGAUAAAGUUAUACCCCACAGGCCUAGUUUACAAAAGGUUCCUAACUAGUUUCUUGGUGUGCGGUUAUAUACUCCACUCCAAUCAAUCAACCCCUUAGGCUGGCAUUCAAAGUUCCUCUAUUGCCUACUUAUGUAUUAUUUUCCACUUCUCAUCUAUAUGAAUCAUGUAGUACAGUUAAGUCAAGCUCCUCUGUAAUCUUUAUUUAAAUUAAAUCUUCCACAGGAAAUGUCUUCCCACUUCUUUCAUGUCCAUCCAGAUCUUUCUAGUCAUUCAGAGCCCAACUCAAGUCCUAUCUCUCCUAUAAGAUGGUCUCCAAACCAACCUUUAUCAGUUCUAUACCUUUAGCCUCAGUUGAUAUCACAUGAUCUAGCCCUAGAUUUAUAUAGUUCUUACUUUUUGCUAUUCUCUCUCAUAUAGCCAACCACAUGGUAAGUCUUUUGAAGCCAGGAUCCAAGUCCUUUAUUCCCUUGACCAUCCCUCAUGUGCCUACCACAGAACAUAUAUUUUAUUAAUUCUCCUUAUUUGAAGGGAAAAGACACUAAUUCUAUCCUGCUCUGUAUUACCCAGAUGUAUAUUUCCUAACCUUUUCUUGUAUUAUUAAAAAAUGAAAUUGGGACUUGAUCGAAAGAUUGAUCAAAUUUAAGCGAUGGUUUGCGGUGAACAUGCCCAUUUAUACAAAAAGUUUGAUCUGACUGAAGGAGAAACAGCUUCACUUGAUCUAACAAAGUUCCUUAUUUAGGCCCUGUCAUACUUAUUGGGAAGUGGGGAGGGGUGUGCUCUCACUUUAGAUUUAUUUGAAAAAGGUCUUGAUUUAUCAACUCACCUAUUACAGGGGCAUACACAAAGGCCACAGCACUUGUUUAGUUCUGUUAAAGUCUUCUCUGCUUCUCUCAUGUCUUUGUUUAUUUGGUCCAUGCCUUCUUCUACGCGUUUUAGUUGUUCUAAGAAUAAGUUGUGGAAGUUACAUUUUGUGUUACAUUCACGGUGCCAACCAGAAAACGCCAUUAUGAUGGAACAGCAAAAACUUUAACCUCGAAUCCACCAAUAACCCAUCACAGUGACUGUAUCAGGGCCAGAUGGUAUUACAGACUGUCCAGAAUGAAAAUAGUCUUUCACAUACUGAUCCUGGGGCACCUGGCCUCUGACUGUGGAAAGAUUUGUUCUAAAGAAAUUUGUAUAAUAGGAGCAUGUGAGGAUUGGUUUAGACAUCACUUCUGCAACCAAAUUAAGUGUACUGUGACUAGACCAGAUCCCCAGCAUUUCUAUUAUUGGAUAGGCUCAAAACCUGAAGGCUGUCAUAAGACUGAUAAAAACUAGACCAGAUUGCUCAGAGCCAAAUCAAACAGAAUGUUUCCAAGCCUGCCUGAAUCUGACCUAUUUAAGGACUUAACUUGAUUUCUGAAAAUGAUGCAAAAAUAUCAUAAUGUCUAGUUCAUGUACGACCAAUACACACAAUAAGCCCUGCUACAUAAUAAAUACUUGGUAUACAAUGGGGUAUUGUGCCCCCACCUCAAAUAGGCAACAAACAUGAUAUAAUUCAAAUCAGCAGAAAAGAAGUAAAAUGUCACUCUUAUCUUACAAAGGGAAGGUACUCCCAAAGGCUUAAUUAAUUUUAUACACGGCUGAUUUGAAAAGGCUUUCUGGCAUCCUAAAUCAAAUCAAGAAUUUCUGCCAAUGACUGCAACUCACCCCCUUGUUCAUCCAGCGUAGUGAUAGUCUUGAUUCCUGCAUCCUGAGACUAAAAGAAGGGGAAAACGCUGAGAGCACAGCAAAAUAAAAACAAAACAGAAACAGAACCUACAAAGUCUGAAAAACAGCAAGAGAGAAUCAUUAGAAACUUAAGUUUCUCAGAGGACUAGAGCUACAGAGGAAACUAAUCUCCCCAAACCAACACACUUUAACAUAUUAACCCCCCAAAAUAAGUCGCAGACUCAUGGUGAAUUGUCUUCCUUGUCAUAUUCCAAUACUAUCAAUUAGAAAAACAAAAAAGGCCCAUUACUGCAUGGUUUGACCAUUUCAGCAAUUGCUGGUUUCAAAUAAUAAAGCUUAUUGAUACAAUACCCUUCUGAUUCUUAACAGUAAUUCCAGCCGGUGCUAUCAGAACCCCUUCUAUACAGUUACUAUACUUAACUUGAUGAUUAAACACCUUCUUACCUCAAUGGCUAAACCCAGGAUUCUCCUUGUACUUUCCAGAGACUAGGAAAAAACACAGAGUUUCAGCAUUCUACAACAAUUCCCGCCCCCCCGCCGCCCAAAAUCUGAACACAGGCCAUAUUCAUAAUGCUACUCUAUUUUUAAAGAUUGCCAGCCCAUCCACCUCUCCCUUUAAAACAAAAAAAGAAAGCUUAUUACUAUAAUUUUGGUUACUUUCUUCCUACCAGAUGGUCCUUAAGAGAAAAUUUGGAAGGUGAAGUUAAUGGGAUUUAUAAAAAAUUUAAUGUAAGCAGAAAUCUAGGUAUAUUACACAGAUAUUAGAAAAUUCUGUUAAAAUUAAAUGUCAGAAUUCCUCGAAUCUAGAAUAUCUUUGUUGUAAGUAACUCUUCAGUAAUGACUAAAAAAAAACAAAAAAAACAUACAAAUUGUUUUCACUUAUUUAGCUUUUUGAUGAGUUGAAAAAAUAAGGAGCUAGUAAUGGCGCUCUAGAGCAAAUGCAUUCUUUGAUAUAAAGAGACUAGGAAGAAGCCAAAAUGGUCUUCUAAGAAGGUCCUCUCAUCCUUCCACUGUGAAAACUGAAAGAGAAUUAUUACUUAUUCCAAGUAAAACCUUUACCUCAUCAGUAACCUGGUUAGCCCUCAGCUGAAUUUCUUCUGCUGACAGAUUAUCCAUGAUGAAUUAAAACUUGAUAGGUGGAGAAACUGAAAUGUGGAUAU